GAUGCUUUAAUGAGAAAGGGAUAAAGGAGCUAGGGGUACAGAGAGAACCAGGAGGAUUCCCUAGAAGCAGCCACCCUUGAAAGAGUGUGUAAUAGCUCACAAAUCGAGCACUUUUGUGCCGAAGAUGAACAGGGCUAAGUGAUCUACCGAA
Gossypium raimondii (Peruvian cotton) is the source of this 151-nucleotide non-coding RNA. The record is from Rfam. NCBI's taxonomy places the organism in Eukaryota, Viridiplantae, Streptophyta, Magnoliopsida, Malvales, Malvaceae.